AGAACGAACGCUGGCGGCAUGCCUAACACAUGCAAGUCGAACGCUUGUCCGGCUUCGGCCGGGCAGGAGUGGCGCACGGGUGAGUAACGCGUGGGAACAUACCCCUCGGUCUGGAAUAACUCAGGGAAACUUGAGCUAAUACCGGAUACGGUCGAGAGGCGAAAGAUUCAUCGCCGAGGGAUUGGCCCGCGUUCGAUUAGCUAGUUGGUGGGGUAACGGCUCACCAAGGCGACGAUCGAUAGCUGGUCUGAGAGGAUGAUCAGCCACAUUGGGACUGAGACACGGCCCAAACUCCUACGGGAGGCAGCAGUGGGGAAUAUUGGACAAUGGGCGCAAGCCUGAUCCAGCCAUGCCGCGUGAGUGAUGACGGCCUUAGGGUUGUAAAGCUCUUUCGCUCGGGACGAUAAUGACGGUACCGAGAUAAGAACGCCCCGGCUAACUUCGUGCCAGCAGCCGC
RNAcentral lists this ribosomal RNA (457 nucleotides) under uncultured bacterium. RNAcentral describes it as "SSU rRNA". It matches the Rfam family "Bacterial small subunit ribosomal RNA", at positions 26 to 518 of the family's 1533-position model. The record is from RNAcentral.